AUCCUCAGUGCUCAUGUAUWGCAUGGGCUUUUGCCAAGAGUAAAUAYCUUGGCGAAUAAGUGGUGGGUAAGACUGGUGCCAGCCGCCGCGGUAACACCAGCGCCACGAGUGGCAACCACGUUUAUUGGGCCUAAAGCGUCCGUAGCCGGUUUGGUAAAUCUUUUGUGAAAUCGUCGGGCUUAACCUGACGGCGUGCAGGAGACACUGCCGAACUUGAGACCGGGAGGAGUCAGAGGUAUUCCWGGGGGAGCGGUAAAAUGUGAUAAUCCCYGGAGGACCACCUGUGGCGAAGGCAUCUGACCAGAACGGAUCUGACGGUGAGGGACGAAGGCUAGGGGAGCGAUCCGGAUUAGAUACCCGAGUAGUCCUAGCAGUAAACGCUGCGAGCUAGGUGUUGCAUAUYCUACGAGAAUGUGCAGUGUCGAAGCGAAGKCGUUAAGCUCGCCGCCUGGGAAGUACGGUCGCAAGACUGAAACUUUAAGGAAUUGGCG
This 491-nucleotide ribosomal RNA is filed under the name uncultured archaeon. RNAcentral describes it as "bacterial SSU rRNA". It matches the Rfam family "Archaeal small subunit ribosomal RNA", at positions 378 to 870 of the family's 1478-position model. The record is from RNAcentral.